RNAcentral lists this long non-coding RNA (794 nucleotides) under Elaeis guineensis (African oil palm). RNAcentral's name for it is "long non-coding RNA (EGUI_LNC038929)". Lineage: Eukaryota; Viridiplantae; Streptophyta; Magnoliopsida; Arecales; Arecaceae. The record is from RNAcentral.
ACACCCAAAUCUAGUAAUGCCUUCUUAAUCGUGAGGUCCCCUAUGACACAAGAUAUAAUUUGGGUACCAAGAUUCUUAAAUUUGGAUGGGGCAAUUUACUGAAAGAUUGAGCUGGUCUGCUCAGUCAGGUGGACCUUCUUCAGUGUGUGUGCCUUAAAUCUUUGUUUUUAUGUGCACAUGUCCUUUAGAAAUUUAGCAUAGGUCAGGACUUGCUUAAUGGUAUCAAGAAGGGGUAAGUUUAUCUGGACCUGUUUAAACAGUUCUAGCAUUUCAUUCAUUUUUAUAUCCUUCUUAUCUAAAGGUAGAGAGGAUUGAUUCUAAAGCACUUGAAAAUGGGGUCUUAAAUGCAGGUGCCGAGUCAGUGAGUUCUUUCCUCUCUUCAGGUUUCUUCUUUUUCGGCUUGGCCGGCAUUGGUUGCUCUGGUUGUUGGGUCACUUCAGAUUGAUUUAAGAUUUUUCCACUUCUAAGGGUUAUGACCGAUUUGGCAUAUUCGAAAAAAGUUUCUGGGCUAGUGGAGCUCUCAGCCAUGUACUGUCCUUUUGGAUUACUGAUGGGCUGGCGGGUAGUUUGCCCUCCUCCCUCCUACUGAAAGCUAUCGCUAGUUAACCUAUCUGGAUCUUUAGCUUUGCAAUAGAUUGUAUGUGGGAGUGAAGGAUCUGGGUGUUCAUCUCCAGCCCCUUAAGUGCUUGCAGCAUCUUCUCCUUAAAGGCAGUGUUUGGAGAAUUUGUUGCAUGUUCCAUGCAUACAGUGGGUAUGGAGCCGAUUUAUUGACUCCCUUAGGAUAACUAGGUCAU